Molecule: unclassified non-coding RNA, 519 nt
Filed under: Prunella vulgaris (common self-heal)
Lineage: Eukaryota; Viridiplantae; Streptophyta; Magnoliopsida; Lamiales; Lamiaceae
Description: partial contains ITS1, 5.8S rRNA and ITS2
Rfam family: 5.8S ribosomal RNA (bases 204-359)
Source: RNAcentral
AACUACACGGCGCGCGGCGUGGGGGACGCGAGUCUCCCCGUCGCGCGCUGAAUCCCCGCCGGCGCGCUCCCUCGGGUCGCGUCGUUCGGGCUAACGAACCCCGGCGCGGAAUGCGCCAAGGAAAACUUAACGAAGCGUCCGCAUCCCCGCAGCCCGUCCGCGGAACCUGCGGGGGGACCGGUCGUCUAUCAUAAUGUCAAAACGACUCUCGGCAACGGAUAUCUCGGCUCUCGCAUCGAUGAAGAACGUAGCGAAAUGCGAUACUUGGUGUGAAUUGCAGAAUCCCGUGAACCAUCGAGUCUUUGAACGCAAGUUGCGCCCGAAGCCUUUAGGCCGAGGGCACGUCUGCCUGGGCGUCACGCAUCGCGUCGCCCCACCUCACCGCGCACGAACGUGCCGGCUAGUGGGGCGGAUAUUGGCCCCCCGUGCGCCUCGGCGUGUGGUCGGCCCAAAUGCGAUCCCUCGGCGACUCGUGUCGCGACUAGUGGUGGUUGAACCUCAAUCUCUCAAUCGUCGUGC